Sciurus carolinensis (gray squirrel) is the source of this 942-nucleotide long non-coding RNA. RefSeq lists it as uncharacterized. The transcript is spliced from 3 exons. Lineage: Eukaryota; Metazoa; Chordata; Mammalia; Rodentia; Sciuridae. The record is from RefSeq and is a predicted model, not a curated record.
CGAGCCUUCCGCGAGGCUCCGCCGGGGAGCUCGGCUCACCUGGCGACUGCUAAUUACGGGGGAGUGUGCCCCCUACAUUCCUGGGCGCUUUCUUUUCUCGGAGGAAACUCGAGCCCGUCUCUCCGGCCUCGGACGGCUCCAGCCCAGCCAGGCCAGCGCGGUGGCCGAGCCCAGGCUGGGAGGAGCACGGCGCCCGGGGCCCGCAGGACUCUCCCCGCCUUCCGCAGCUGCCCCGAACACGUCGGCGGCGGAGCGCGUGGCUCGCUGGGCGUCUCCGGCUCCGCGCGGGGGAGGGCUCCCCGCGAAAGUUCCCCUCCUUACCCCGAAGGUGAAAAUCGCGACCUUUCCCUAGUGACAAUUGCCAGCUGCCGGCGGGGCUCCCCUUCCGGGCCUCGAACCCCGAACUCCGGCUCCUCCAGGGUCCCGGGGCCUCCCGGCCUGGAAACCCGGCCCCCCGAGCCCCGGCUCCCCAGCUUACCCGAUCACCUUUUGUCUUACAACUUCCUUCUGUGCCUUCCUGCUGAUGAAUGAGGUCAUUCCACCCUCUGCUGCCAGGCAGUCAUCCGAGGAGCUGAAGGGAGAGCAGAGGCUUAACCUUUAACACCCCACAGUCCAGCUGUGUGGGUCAGAGCUGGAGGAGACAGGGGAGGAGACAAGCCACCAUAAAAGCAUGAGAGCAAAGGUCGGUGACACAGGGAUGCCUCUGCUGAUUCUUUUUAUCUACACCCACCUUAUCACACACCCGUAUUUAUGUUCGGGUACCAGGUGCCAUCUCACCAUGCCAACUGCUUUCACAUUGGACCCAGAGCAACUCAGACCUUCUGUGAUCUACCACUCUGAGCAUCAUAGUGCCUUCUUGCUUUAGAUUCCCGUGGAUGGACGGAGUGCAAUAAAACAAAGAAUACUAAAAAGGGAUGUAUUAGCCUCAUGGAUUUUGAAAUU